AUUGAACGCUGGCGGCAGGCCUAACACAUGCAAGUCGAACGGUAACAGGAAGCAGCUUGCUGCUUYGCUGACGAGUGGCGGACGGGUGAGUAAUGUCUGGGGAUCUGCCUGAUGGAGGGGGAUAACUACUGGAAACGGUAGCUAAUACCGCAUAACGUCGCAAGACCAAAGAGGGGGACCUUCGGGCCUCUUGCCAUCAGAUGAACCCAGAUGGGAUUAGCUAGUAGGUGGGGUAACGGCUCACCUAGGCGACGAUCCCUAGCUGGUCUGAGAGGAUGACCAGCCACACUGGAACUGAGACACGGUCCAGACUCCUACGGGAGGCAGCAGUGGGGAAUAUUGCACAAUGGGCGCAAGCCUGAUGCAGCCAUGCCGCGUGUAUGAAGAAGGCCUUCGGGUUGUAAAGUACUUUCAGCGAGGAGGAAGGCGGUAAGGUUAAUAACCUUAUCGAUUGACGUUACUCGCAGAAGAAGCACCGGCUAACUCC
RNAcentral lists this ribosomal RNA (487 nucleotides) under Siccibacter turicensis. Its description in RNAcentral is "bacterial SSU rRNA". It matches the Rfam family "Bacterial small subunit ribosomal RNA", at positions 30 to 504 of the family's 1533-position model. Lineage: Bacteria; Pseudomonadati; Pseudomonadota; Gammaproteobacteria; Enterobacterales; Enterobacteriaceae. The record is from RNAcentral.